GAUGAACGCUGGCGGCGUGCCUAAUACAUGCAAGUCGAGCGAACAGACGAGGAGCUUGCUCCUUUGACGUUAGCGGCGGACGGGUGAGUAACACGUGGGUAACCUACCUAUAAGACUGGGAUAACUUCGGGAAACCGGAGCUAAUACCGGAUAAUAUUUCGAACCGCAUGGUUCGAUAGUGAAAGAUGGCUCUGCUAUCACUUAUAGAUGGACCUGCGCCGUAUUAGCUAGUUGGUAAGGUAACGGCUUACCAAGGCAACGAUACGUAGCCGACCUGAGAGGGUGAUCGGCCACACUGGAACUGAGACACGGUCCAGACUCCUACGGGAGGCAGCAGUAGGGGAUCUUCCGCAAUGGGCGAAAGCCUGACGGAGCAACGCCGCGUGAGUGAUGAAGGUCUUCGGAUCGUAAAACUCUGUUAUUAGGGAAGAACAAACGUGUAAGUAACUGUGCACGUCUUGACGGUACCUAAUCAGAAAGCCACGGCUAACUACGUG
RNAcentral lists this ribosomal RNA (497 nucleotides) under uncultured bacterium. Its description in RNAcentral is "partial 16S ribosomal RNA". It matches the Rfam family "Bacterial small subunit ribosomal RNA", at positions 28 to 507 of the family's 1533-position model. The record is from RNAcentral.